UUUCCUACGGGAGGCAGCAGUGAGGAAUAUUGGUCAAUGGGCGCAAGCCUGAACCAGCCAAGUCGCGUGAGAGAUGACGGUCCUAUGGAUUGUAAACCUCUUUUGUCGGGGAGCAAGGCCCGCCACGUGUGGCGGGAAGGAGAGUACCCGAAGAAAAAGCAUCGGCUAACUCCGUGCCAGCAGCCGCGGUAAUACGGAGGAUGCGAGCGUUAUCCGGAUUUAUUGGGUUUAAAGGGGUCGUAGGCGGAGUGUCAAGUCAGCGGUAAAAUUUCGGGGCUCAACCCCGUCGGGCCGUUGAAACUGAG
This 305-nucleotide ribosomal RNA is filed under the name uncultured bacterium. RNAcentral describes it as "bacterial SSU rRNA". It matches the Rfam family "Bacterial small subunit ribosomal RNA", at positions 335 to 637 of the family's 1533-position model. The record is from RNAcentral.